GACUGCCGGUGUUAAACCGAGGAAGGUGGGGAUGACGUCAAGUCCUCAUGGCCCUUAUGUCCAGGGCUACACACGUGCUACAAUGGCCGGUACAAAGGGCAGCAAAGCCGCGAGGUGGAGCCAAUCCCAGAAAGCCGGUCUCAGUUCGGAUUGGAGUCUGCAACUCGACUCCAUGAAGUUGGAAUCGCUAGUAAUCGCGGAUCAGCACGCCGCGGUCGAAUACGUUCCGGGCCUU
Molecule: ribosomal RNA, 235 nt
Filed under: uncultured Desulfuromonas sp.
Lineage: Bacteria; Pseudomonadati; Thermodesulfobacteriota; Desulfuromonadia; Desulfuromonadales; Desulfuromonadaceae
Description: partial 16S ribosomal RNA
Rfam family: Bacterial small subunit ribosomal RNA
Source: RNAcentral